CUAAUACAUGCAAGUCGAGCGCGGGAAAGCAAACUGAAGCCUUCGGGCGGACGUCUGUGGAACGAGCGGCGGAUGGGUGAGUAACACGUGGGCAACCUGCCUGUAAGCUCGGGAUAACUAGCGGAAACGCUAGCUAAUACCGAAUAACGCUGUGCACCGCAUGGCGCGCAGAUGAAAGGCGGCGCAAGCUGCCACUUACAGAUGGGCCCGCGGCGCAUUAGCUAGUUGGUGGGGUAACGGCCUACCAAGGCGACGAUGCGUAGCCGACUUGAGAGGGUGAUCGGCCACACUGGGACUGAGACACGGCCCAGACUCCUACGGGAGGCAGCAGUAGGGAAUAUUCCGCAAUGGGCGAAAGCCUGACGGAGCGACGCCGCGUGAGCGAUGAAGGUCUUCGGAUCGUAAAGCUCUGUUGUUAGGGAAGAACAAGUACCGGAGUAACUGCCGGUACCUUGACGGUACCUAACCAGAAAGCCCCGGCUAACUACGUGCCAGCAGCCGCGGUAAUACGUAGGGGGCGAGCGUUGUCCGGAAUUAUUGGGCGUAAAGGGCGCGUAGGCGGUCUCUUAAGUCUGAUGUGAAAGCCCCCGGCUUAACCGGGGAGGGUCAUUGGAAACUGGGAGACUUGAGUGCAGGAGAGGGAAGCGGAAUUCCAUGUGUAGCGGUGAAAUGCGUAGAGAUAUGGAGGAACACCAGUGGCGAAGGCGG
Molecule: ribosomal RNA, 708 nt
Filed under: uncultured bacterium
Lineage: Bacteria
Description: bacterial SSU rRNA
Rfam family: Bacterial small subunit ribosomal RNA
Source: RNAcentral